RNAcentral lists this ribosomal RNA (468 nucleotides) under uncultured bacterium. RNAcentral's name for it is "partial 16S ribosomal RNA". It matches the Rfam family "Bacterial small subunit ribosomal RNA", at positions 28 to 507 of the family's 1533-position model. The record is from RNAcentral.
GACGAACGCUGGCGGCGUGCUUAACACAUGCAAGUCGAACGGAGCGGCCCUGCUUUUGUGGGGUGCUCGAGUGGCGAACGGGUGAGUAACCCGAGAGUAACCUGCCUCUGACUUUGGGUUACCUUCAGGAACCUGGGGCUAUUACCGGAUAGGCGCCCCUGCUGCAUGGUGGGGGUUGGAAAGUUUAGGCGGUUGGGUGUGGACUCGCGGCUUAUCAGCUUGUUGGUCGGGUAGUGACUGAUCAAGGGCUUGACUGGUAGCCGGCCUGAGAGGGUGGAUGGCCACAUUGGGACUGAGAUACGGCCGGAGGUCCUACGAGAGGCAGCAGUGGGAUGGAAUGCACAAUGGGCGGAAGCCGGAUGCAGCAACGCCGCGUGCUGGAGGACGGCCAUCUGGGUGUAAACCGCUUUCGCCCGUGACGAAGCGGGAGUGACGGUAAUGGGUAAAGAAGCACCGGCUAACUACGUG